UAACUGAUCCUCGCGUCAGGUUCCCCGGUAACGGGGAUGAAAAGGGAACUCGGGUGAAAAUCCCGGACUGCCCCCGCAACUGUAAGCGGCGAGCCCGCACGUCAUAUGUCACUGGACGAGGACUUUCAUAGUCCAAGUCCGGGAAGGCGAUGUGCAAGGGGUGUUGACCUGCAAGCCAGGAGACCUGCCCGGCGCAAUCGUCCUUC
Molecule: non-coding RNA, 206 nt
Filed under: Phenylobacterium zucineum
Lineage: Bacteria; Pseudomonadati; Pseudomonadota; Alphaproteobacteria; Caulobacterales; Caulobacteraceae
Source: RNAcentral